This 2532-nucleotide ribosomal RNA is filed under the name Triticum aestivum (bread wheat). Its description in RNAcentral is "partial small subunit ribosomal RNA". Lineage: Eukaryota; Viridiplantae; Streptophyta; Magnoliopsida; Poales; Poaceae. The record is from RNAcentral.
AUGGUGAAGUUCACAGCGGAGGAGCUCCGUGGAAUCAUGGACAAAAAGAACAAUAUCCGGAACAUGUCGGUUAUUGCUCAUGUAGACCACGGCAAGUCUACGCUUACGGAUUCCCUUGUGGCAGCUGCUGGGAUUAUUGCCCAGGAAGUUGCUGGUGAUGUUCGCAUGACCGAUACCCGUGCAGAUGAGGCAGAGCGUGGUAUCACAAUCAAAUCCACGGGUAUCUCUCUUUUCUAUCAGAUGACUCCUGAAUCACUCGAGAUGUACAAGGGCGAUCGCGAUGGGGAUGAAUACCUGAUCAACCUUAUUGAUUCACCUGGCCACGUUGACUUUUCUUCGGAAGUCACAGCUGCUCUUCGUAUCACUGAUGGAGCUUUGGUGGUUGUUGACUGUAUUGAGGGUGUCUGUGUGCAGACUGAAACUGUGCUGCGCCAAGCUCUUGGUGAGAGGAUUAGGCCAGUCCUUACUGUGAACAAGAUGGACAGAUGCUUCCUUGAGCUUCAGGUGGAAGGUGAGGAAGCAUAUCAGACUUUCUCCCGUGUUAUCGAAAAUGCCAAUGUCAUCAUGGCAACAUAUGAAGAUGUGCUCCUUGGGGAUGUCCAAGUGUACCCUGAAAAGGGGACUGUUGCAUUCUCUGCUGGUCUGCAUGGGUGGGCUUUCACCCUUACAAACUUUGCUAAGAUGUAUGCCUCCAAGUUUGGAGUUGACGAGGCAAAGAUGAUGGAGAGGCUGUGGGGUGAGAACUUCUUCGACCCAGCCACAAAGAAAUGGACCUCCAAGAACACCGGGACAGCUACCUGCAAGAGAGGUUUCGUUCAGUUCUGCUAUGAGCCAAUCAAGCAAAUCAUAGCCACCUGCAUGAAUGAUCAGAAGGAUAAGUUGUGGCCUAUGUUGAAGAAGCUUGGAGUGACCAUGAAGAAUGAUGAGAAGGACUUGAUGGGCAAGGCUCUCAUGAAGCGUGUGAUGCAAACUUGGCUGCCUGCCAGUCGUGCUCUGCUUGAGAUGAUGAUAUUUCACCUCCCCUCUCCUUCAAAGGCCCAGAGGUACCGUGUGGAGAACUUAUACGAGGGCCCCCUUGAUGACAUAUAUGCAAAUGCUAUCAGAAACUGUGACCCUGAUGGUCCUCUUAUGCUGUACGUCUCCAAGAUGAUUCCAGCAUCUGACAAGGGUAGAUUCUUUGCCUUUGGACGUGUUUUUGCCGGGAGGGUUGCAACUGGCAUGAAGGUCCGUAUCAUGGGUCCCAACUUUGUUCCUGGCCAGAAGAAGGAUCUGUAUGUGAAGAGUGUCCAGCGUACUGUUAUCUGGAUGGGAAAGAAGCAAGAGUCUGUUGAGGAUGUUCCCUGUGGUAACACUGUUGCUUUGGUUGGUUUGGAUCAGUUCAUCACAAAGAAUGCAACCCUGACAAAUGAGAAGGAAGUUGAUGCCUGCCCAAUCAGGGCAAUGAAGUUCUCUGUGUCCCCUGUUGUGCGUGUUGCUGUUCAGUGCAAGGUGGCCUCUGAUCUUCCCAAGCUUGUUGAGGGUUUGAAGCGUCUGGCAAAGUCUGACCCUAUGGUUCUCUGUACCAUUGAAGAGUCUGGUGAACAUAUCAUUGCUGGAGCUGGAGAGCUUCACCUUGAAAUCUGUUUGAAGGAUCUGCAGGAUGACUUCAUGGGUGGUGCUGAAAUCAUUGUUUCCCCUCCUGUCGUCUCCUUCCGUGAGACUGUUCUAGAGAAGUCCUGCCGUACAGUCAUGAGCAAGUCCCCGAACAAGCACAACCGUCUUUACAUGGAAGCUCGCCCCUUGGAGGAGGGACUGGCUGAGGCCAUUGAUGAUGGGCGCAUUGGCCCACGUGACGAUCCUAAGGUGCGGUCUAAGAUCCUGUCUGAGGAGUUUGGCUGGGACAAGGAUCUUGCCAAGAAGAUUUGGUGCUUUGGACCUGAGACGACUGGCCCCAACAUGGUUGUUGACAUGUGUAAGGGAGUGCAGUAUCUUAAUGAAAUCAAGGACUCUGUUGUGGCUGGGUUCCAGUGGGCGUCGAAGGAAGGUGCACUGGCUGAGGAGAACAUGCGUGGCAUCUGCUUCGAGGUCUGUGAUGUUGUUCUCCACACUGAUGCUAUUCACAGGGGUGGUGGUCAGGUCAUUCCCACGGCCAGGAGGGUCAUUUAUGCUUCUCAGCUGACUGCCAAGCCAAGGCUGCUGGAGCCUGUGUACCUGGUUGAAAUCCAGGCCCCGGAGAAUGCGCUUGGUGGCAUCUAUGGUGUUCUGAAUCAGAAGAGAGGGCACGUGUUCGAGGAGAUGCAGAGGCAAGGUACCCCGCUCUACAACAUCAAGGCCUACCUCCCCGUCAUCGAGUCCUUUGGGUUCUCAAGCACCCUGAGGGCUGCGACGUCCGGCCAGGCCUUCCCCCAGUGUGUGUUUGACCACUGGGACAUCAUGGCUUCCGAUCCUUUGGACCCCGGCACCCAGUCUGCGACGCUCGUCACGGAGAUCCGCAAGAGGAAGGGGCUCAAGGAGCAGAUGACCCCUCUAUCCGAUUUCGAAGACAAGCUCUAA